GACGAACGCUGGCGGCAUGCCUAAUACAUGCAAGUCGAACGAGACCGUCGGGUCCAUUCGCCCAUGGGUGGGUCACGCGACGGAAGCUUCACUCGGGGUCGGACUAACUCUCCGAAAGGGGUGCUAUUACCGGACAAUGUCUACUGACGAAAGAUAUAUUGCCUUUGGAUGGGCACGCGUUAGAUAAGCUAGUUCGUAGGGUAAAAGCCUACCAAGGCGAAGAUCCAUAGCUGGUCUGGGAGGAUGAUCAGCCACACUGGGGCUGGGACACGGCCCAGACUCCCACGGGAGGCAGAAAGUGGGAACGUUGGACGAUGGGCGAAAGCCUGAUCUAGCAAGGCCGCGUGAGUGAGGAAGGCCUGAGGGUUGUAAAGCUCAUUUAACAGGGAAGCUAAUGACAGUACCGGGCCAGAAAGCGACGGCUAACUCCGUG
This 433-nucleotide ribosomal RNA is filed under the name uncultured bacterium. Its description in RNAcentral is "partial 16S ribosomal RNA". It matches the Rfam family "Bacterial small subunit ribosomal RNA", at positions 28 to 507 of the family's 1533-position model. The record is from RNAcentral.